Benincasa hispida (wax gourd) is the source of this 104-nucleotide small nucleolar RNA. NCBI's taxonomy places the organism in Eukaryota, Viridiplantae, Streptophyta, Magnoliopsida, Cucurbitales, Cucurbitaceae. The record is from RefSeq and is a predicted model, not a curated record.
AUGCUAUUAUGUGGGCAAUUACGAACUAAACGCUUAAAUCUUGCCCAUGCAUUACUCAAGGUUUCAAAAUCAUUCUGUUCAAAGCUAAUAAUGUCUUGCUGCCU